Molecule: long non-coding RNA, 1245 nt
Organism: Halichondria panicea
Lineage: Eukaryota; Metazoa; Porifera; Demospongiae; Suberitida; Halichondriidae
Exons: 4
Source: RefSeq, a predicted model, not a curated record
AUGACUCAACGGUUAUAUACAUAAUUAUAAGUGAACAUGCUUAAAUGUUUACUGAUAGUACUAUCAUAUAUAUAUAUAUAUACGUAUUAUAGCAUGGAGAUAUCGGCAUAACUGUGAAUGAGGUGAUCAAGGCUGGCUCUCUGGGACACGGCACUGCAGUUCCAGGAAAGUUCGACUUGGACUUAGUCAUAUAUUCUUCAGGUAUUUAAGCCGACAUUGAGUGUUUAAGAAAAUGAUUAUAAAGUAUAUACAACUUAGCUAAAAGCUGGCCCAUUUCCCAUGUACUUUUGUAGAUGUAGAUGCAAGAGAAAUAAAAAACACCAGGGCAAAAAGACAGCGCACACCUUCUGGAGAUAUAGACACAGGCUAUGGGAAGUAUUUAGACAAACUGAGGAGCUUCUUAGGCAGUGUGCAGGAGUGACGCUCAACCGUACCAAACCACAUGCAGUGAAUUUCUGCUACUAUGGAAUUGAAGUGGAUCUGCUGGUUAGCCCAAACUGGCCAAAUCUAGGUGCACUUUGGACGUUUCUCCAAGAUGUUGACCGAGAAUACCUUUUCGAUUUCUCAGUGAAUGCCUCAAAGUGGCAAGUCAAAAAUUUCAGUGAGGUUCCAAGUCAGGUAAGCAAACAAUAAGACAUGCACAUAUUAAUAGCAUGACAUGUACGCGAAAGAGUUUAUCAAGCGUGCUAAGGCUUGGAGGAACAAAAAGUGGCUAUACACCGUAAUGUGGGCAAACCAAAAUCUUAUCUCAUCUCUCUUCUCGUACUGAAGUCAUACGAAAACGCACGAAAGCGUGGUGUCAGCACAUCAAGCACCUCAAUAAUUGCUAGAGAGACAGAAGUUGAGCUAAAGAAGAUUUUUAGGGAUCACAAAAAUGUCAAUAUACACUGGGAGAAGUACUAUACUUUUAGUGGUGGACCUACUCUCUAUCCACGACUGGAUGUAUAUACCAAGUGAAAGAGAGCCAAGAAUUCUCGAUUCGGCAAACCCUACAAACAAUUUGUAUAAAACUGGGAUAAAUGGGAACUGGACACAGCUCGUCACUAACAUUGACACUAUCGAUCUCACAAAAGCUGUGGAAUAUUAAAGCUUAAAUGAGCAUGCAUGUAUAGGUGUAAUACUGAUCAUUAGCGAAUGGUUAGCAGUUCAUGCAUGUGUAGUACACUAUAGAAACUGGCAACUGAAAACUUCACUAGGAAUACCAUAAUGUUUGUCAUAUUCAUGAUGGUUAUAACCUCAAAACAA